Molecule: ribosomal RNA, 253 nt
Filed under: uncultured bacterium
Lineage: Bacteria
Description: partial 16S ribosomal RNA
Rfam family: Bacterial small subunit ribosomal RNA
Source: RNAcentral
UACGUAGGGGGCUAGCGUUGUCCGGAUUUAUUGGGCGUAAAGAGCGUGUAGGCGGCCUGGUAGGUCUGCUGUGAAAACUCGAGGCUCAACCUCGAGAUGUCGGCGGAAACCAUCUGGCUAGAGUCCGGAAGAGGAGAGUGGAAUUCCUGGUGUAGCGGUGAAAUGCGCAGAUAUCAGGAAGAACACCUAUGGCGAAGGCAGCUCUCCGGGACGGUACUGACGCUGAGACGCGAAAGCGUGGGGAGCGAACAGG